RNAcentral lists this ribosomal RNA (490 nucleotides) under uncultured bacterium. Its description in RNAcentral is "partial 16S ribosomal RNA". It matches the Rfam family "Bacterial small subunit ribosomal RNA", at positions 30 to 507 of the family's 1533-position model. The record is from RNAcentral.
AUUGAACGCUGGCGGCAGGCCUAACACAUGCAAGUCGAACGGUAACAGGAAGAAGCUUGCUUCUUUGCUGACGAGUGGCGGCCGGGUGAGUAAUGUCCGGGAAACUGCCUGAUGGAGGGGGAUAACUACUGGAAACGGUAGCUAAUACCGCAUAACGUCGCAAGACCAAAGAGGGGGACCUUCUGGCCUCUUGCCAUCGGAUGUGCCCAGAUGGGAUUAGCUAGUAGGUGGGGUAACGGCUCACCUAGGCGACGAUCCCUAGCUGGUCUGAGAGGAUGACCAGCCACACUGGAACUGAGACACGGUCCAGACUCCUACGGGAGGCAGCAGUGGGGAAUAUUGCACAAUGGGCGCAAGCCUGAUGCAGCCAUGCCGCGUGUAUGAAGAAGGCCUUCGGGUUGUAAAGUACUUUCAGCGGGGAGGAAGAGAGGAAGGUUAAUACCUUGGCGCAUUGACGUUACCCGCAGAAGAAGCACCGGCUAACUCCGUG